Felis catus (domestic cat) is the source of this 1466-nucleotide long non-coding RNA. RefSeq lists it as uncharacterized. The transcript has 3 exons. The record is from RefSeq and is a predicted model, not a curated record. NCBI's taxonomy places the organism in Eukaryota, Metazoa, Chordata, Mammalia, Carnivora, Felidae.
GACAGCGCCUGAUCUCAGGACACAAAGUCACCCACAGAGGGAGCUCCUCCCCCUUCUCAGGGGACACGGUGUGACUCUGAGGGGGGAGGACACUGAAAACCCCAAAGAACCCAGAAGAAUGGCGCUGGCGGCCGGACGACCAGAGGGUUUGGGAGCUGUCACUUUGCACUGGGAGCAUCGCCCAGGAGGGACAGGAGGCACCACGGAUACGGCCCAGCAAAGUGCCGGAGAGGACAAGCCCAGGACGGAAUCCACAACUGAGACGAACCCUCCACUUUCCCAGAGACGCCUUCUAACCCUGUUGGCCACCCGCCACCCCCGAAGUCCACGUUUGCCAAGGCUUAUCUCUGAGUGAUGACCUCCUACCUCCCCGCAUCGUGCCUCAAACCAUCAGACUGUUUCUCAGCUGCCCUCUUGCUCUCAUGGGAACUUGGCUCUGCUCCGAACUGAGUCCUCGAAGGGACAGUGGUCUCUCCCACAUGGCUCGCAUCCUGAGGCCUGUGGAUGACGCACCAGACCAAUCACGAGCACAGGACUUAGAGUCUGACAGGCCCGAGUUCAAGUUCCGGCUUGAGCGGUCCCAGCUGUGUGGUCUUAGGCAAGUUACUCAGCUUCUCUGAGCCACGUAGACUCAUUCUGCAAACAUGGGCCGAGUGUCUACUUUACAACGGGGUCACCUUGCUACGCCUGUCCUAAGGAUUAUAGAAGAUAACGUAGGUCGUGUCUCUAGAACCAAGCCCAGCUAAUUAUGAUGAAGUGCUCAAUCAUCCGGUGCCGUUUAUUCUUCACGUUUCGUCAUGAUACGGUCUCAGAGUCUAUUUAUAAUCAUCCGUGUUUACAAUCUGGAUUUUCUCAUUGGUCAAAAACUAUUUAGGGCCAGGGCCCCCGGCUGACUCAGUCUCGGGAGCAUUGAGACUCUUGAUCUCGGGGUUGUGGGUUCUAGCACCACGUUGGGUGUAGAGAUUGCUAAAAAAUAAAUAAAUAAAUAAAUAAAUAAAUAAAUAAAUAAAUACACUUUAAAAAAUUUAUUUAGGACUGCCUCGGGGUCCUAAAGGGGUUGGGUUUUGUUACAAACGCUUGGAAGUUUCCAGUUUAUUGCACUGGGGGGUCAGAGAAUGUGGCCAGGUCAGUUUCAGGUUUGAGGACCUUGGAAUUUCUUUCAGGGUCUAACGUUGAUUUGUGAAUGUUUCAUUGGCAGUGAAAAGGUGUGUUCUCCAUUUAUAAGAUACAAAGGUCAAGUAUUUGAACACAAGCCCCAGGAUGGAUAAUUUAUGACUGACCACUGCUGCAUUCCUGGUAUCCAGCAACUGGCCUGAUGUACAUCAUCCAGGUUCAAUAAAUAUUUGUUGAAUGAGUGGCUAAUUAAUCAAGCAAACUUAUUAUCACUUAGAUUCUCAAUACCUUUGUACCUUUGCAUAUUUUUUUUUCCUACUCCAUCUGUCAAAGCCUGGUGAGUUAUGUCACAU